Molecule: ribosomal RNA, 489 nt
Filed under: Loimopapillosum sp. n. AGO-2021
Lineage: Eukaryota; Metazoa; Platyhelminthes; Monogenea; Monocotylidea; Loimoidae
Description: SSU rRNA
Rfam family: Eukaryotic small subunit ribosomal RNA
Source: RNAcentral
ACUUCAUUCUGCUAAAUAGUACACGCGUAACUUUGUGUAGUCACUGCUCGUCUGUGCCUUGUGUAUGGAUGUGUUAGUGCUGCAUAAGCGUGUGAGACUUCUUAGAGGGACAGGUGGACAUGUAAACCACACGAAAAGAAGCAAUAACAGGUCUGUGAUGCCCUUAGAUGUCCGGGGCCGCACGCGUGCUACAAUGACAGUGUUAGAGAGUUUGAUGAUCUCAUUCGAAAGGAUGGGGCAAACUUUUCAAUCACUGCCAUGACUGGGAUCGGGGUUUGUAAUUAUCCCCCGUGAACGAGGAAUUCCUAGUAAGUACAAGUCAUAAGCUUGUGCUGAUUACGUCCCUGCCCUUUGUACACACCGCCCGUCGCUACUACCGAUUGAAUGGUUUAGCAAGGUCAUUGGAUUGACGCUCACGCGGUGUAUAACUGCCGAGUGUUGAGAAGACGACCGAACUUGAUCAUUUAGAGGAAGUACAAGUCGUAAAGG